GGGUCUGUAGCUCAGGUGGUUAGAGCACACCCCUGAUAAGGGUGAGGUCGGUGGUUCAAGUCCACUCAGACCCACCA
RNAcentral lists this transfer RNA (77 nucleotides) under Haemophilus influenzae. RNAcentral describes it as "tRNA-Ile". It matches the Rfam family "tRNA". From Rfam's summary of the family: Transfer RNA (tRNA) molecules are approximately 80 nucleotides in length. Their secondary structure includes four short double-helical elements and three loops (D, anti-codon, and T loops). RNAcentral also lists the same sequence under 2 other names. The record is from RNAcentral. Lineage: Bacteria; Pseudomonadati; Pseudomonadota; Gammaproteobacteria; Pasteurellales; Pasteurellaceae.